Long non-coding RNA from Drosophila ananassae, 4419 nucleotides. RefSeq lists it as uncharacterized. The record is from RefSeq and is a predicted model, not a curated record. Lineage: Eukaryota; Metazoa; Arthropoda; Insecta; Diptera; Drosophilidae. The transcript is spliced from 3 exons.
CAUAUGUUUUUAAACUAUUCCCAAAAAAGAAAACACCUUUAAGAUAAUCUGUAUGCCAGACAUAAAUCAUAGUUUUGUAGAAUCCCUGACAGGAUCAUCCCUUGUUUCUGAGACGCAAAUCCUUGCUCGGCGGUCCAAGAUCUUCCCUGAAUCUCUAUUUCGACCCAUUUCAACCAACUGCUGUUCGAGAACCCACGUACAGCACGCAAUCAACUGUAGCUCAAUGGCCACGCAACAGUCGGGCCAAAGAAUACAAAAAAAAAUCACUUUUAUGGCAAAGAUCAAACUGGCAGAAAAACAACAGAAACGACCAAGACGACGACGAAAAAUACGUUACCAAGGUAGGCUGGCCGAUGUUGCUGCUUUUGCUGCUGCUGCUGCUCCAAAGAAAUGGCCGUUAAAGUUGCCAGGCAAAUGGCCAAAAGUCAGGGGCGUAGCUCGAUCCAGAGUGUGCCCCAGUGUUCCAGAACACAAAACGAAGGUGUAGAGCCCCCCUUUUAAAAAAGGGGCUACGUGAGCGGUUCCCUUGGCACGUUUUUCAGUUUUUUUCUCGUUGUUUAAUUUUAUUUUUUUUCUCUUGAUUUUGUUUUAUUUUUUUUGUUUUUGGCGUGGCCGACGACGACGCCCGUUUGCCAUCAUAAAAGAAGUCAAUUGAAUUUAAAUUUAAAGUACAUAAUGGCCAAGUGAAGGAGGCAAGAUCAGUGGAGCCGGGCGGGACUGUGGGGGGCUAAGCGAGUGGUGAAGGCAACGCUGCCGCCUUUCGAAUUUCACAAAGUCAUCCGUGUGGUUUUUGUUGUUGCCAUGGCUUUUUGCUGUUGGGGCCUCCGACUCUUUGUUGCUGUUGUGUGGGAUUGAAGUCUAUGUAUAAAGAUAUAUACACAUUUUCAUGUACAAGACCCAGGCACAGGCACAGACCCAGUCCCUGGCACAGACACAGGCGCUGGCACGCAAGGCUUUUGGCUUUUAAGCCAAAGAUAUAUCCAUGUGUAUUGGUGUUCGUUGCUCUUUUGAUUUAAACGUGCUUAAAUUUAAAGAUCAAAUUGCCUGAGUUUCGUUGUAGUUUUAUUUAUUUUUUUUUUUUUUUGGGGAAUUUAUUUAUUUUUGAGGUGGUAGUCGAGGCGGUGGGGUUCGGUAGGCCCAGGAAUUUUAAAUUGUAGACAAGCAAAACCGCAAUAAUCGGCCAAAAUUUGUAUAGACAUAAGCAAAUUUUGUGAGUCAGAGAUUGAAAUGUCGCUUACUGCCUUCUUUUUUGCUUUUUUGUUUUUUUUUUCUGUUGUUUUUGCUUGUUGGCGGAUAUGGUUAGUAAUUUAUUUAGAAAGCCAGAUUCGAGUGCCCCCACAGACUACAGACUCAGGGGCUGACACACAUAUUUCAGAUUUAUUCACAUUUCGCCCACCGUUCGGAUAAUUUCGCUAGAAAAGAUGAUUAAGUGAUUAGUGGCUUUUUUGCAGCUGACUUGCUUCGAGCAUAACGAAAGACUUAGGCAACGAACUUGCCGGUAACCUAUUGACAUUAUGACGCGCCAAAAGAAAAGCCAGUCCCUCUCUCUAGCCCUAUUGCCCCUUUUUGGCUCUUUGGUUUGGGUUUUUGUACAAAUUUGCAUUGUUUGCCAGCCUUGCCACCCCCCGCUCCGCUCCGCGCCCCCUGCCAGCCAAGUAUCCCCAUUUUGUCUGCCCGCCAAGCAAACGUGAGAUGAGCCGGGCUUUGCCUCCGCCGCUGGGAACGUGCAGAGAAAAUAUUUGCCUUUUUUGUGCACACAGUUAUGGAUAUAUAAAUAUGUCAAACGUUUUGUUUGCCUUUCUGCCGCUGCCAUUGUGGGAAAGUGUGAGGUUCUGGGCCCGUAGCUCUCUAACAGAAUUUUGGCAGAGAUUUUAUCAGCGGGCUGGUAAUUAAUUGUUGGAAUCAUAUUUUUCACAGACAUUUUCUUACAUCAUACACACUUUUAUGUAAAAUAAAAUAAAAUAAAUAAAAUAUACAAGAGAAAAUAAUUUGAUUUAUGGUUUUGAUUUAAUAAAAAUAUAAUUAAUAUUCUGUUAUUAUUUUAAUCAAAAUAUAUACCAUCUUUUAUUUAUACACCAUUUUGAUGUUUAGUUCCUUAAAAGCUUAAACCAGCUCCGUCGCAUAGAAUCCAUUCACUUCGUUUUCUAUCGAUUUCCAGAUCAUUUAACAAUGCAAAGGCCCGGCUUUUGGCCAUUGUCCAAGAUCUCCGUAUGGUUAAUAAGCAUAUAUAUAUUUCCAACGGAAACCAGUUGGGGCCUCAUGCCGGGGUGGGUCUAUUUACCCCCUGUCUAAAGCCCAGAUUGGCUUCAGUCCUAUUCAGCCGGAGCCAGAACUAAUAAAACUCAUUAAACCAAACAUGUUUGGGCCUAAACAAAGGCCUCUGUCUAUAACCAAUUUGAAUAAUCUCCAACACAGCGCUAUGACAGAAGAGUGGUGGAAGCCAGAAAGUCAAUAAUCUGAUUUUGUGGGGCGAAUGAGAACGAGUAAAUGUCGAGAGUCCAAAUCCGAAUCCGAAUCAGAGUCCCAAAAGAAAGCGACAGAUAGCGAUGGGGAUGGCGACGGUGACGGUGAUGGUGACGGUGACGGUGGAGGCGAUGGAGUAACCCACCAAACCAGCCAUUGCCUGAGAGAAUCAAAAUGAUAACUUUUCAGUUCGGAGCGAAACUGUACCCCCCUGUUCGGCAUCGGAUCGGAUCGGAUCGGUGCUAUAAUGAUCAUGGAUGAUGCUGCGUGUGGAAGUGGAAGAUGAAGAGCCGAGCAAAGCGUACGGGCCAAAAACAGAACACAAAAGGUGGCUAGCUGUCGGGCUAACUGGCUGACGGGGCUGACUGGAACCCGAACCUCCACCACCGACCGGCAAAUGGCCAAGAUCGAUACAAUUUUCGAGCAACAUUUCGGGUUUUCGGGCAUUAAAAAGUCAGAGAGAACAGUAACAAUGCCAAGUCACAGAUACACAGAUACAUGGAUACAGAUACCUUCUGGCCACUUGACAAAAGGGGUGUUGUGGAGGGGGCACAGUGUCGGCGGUUGCGAGGGGCGAAAGACAAAGUUGUACCUUUUUGGUUAUACGAGGGGAGACAAAAGAAGUGGAAUGAGAACAAGAUCAUUGCAUUUUUGCUGGCUGCUGUCGUUGCUUUUUUUUCUCAUUUUUAGUGCUGCUGCCUCAAAGCCAGUUUCGCCCCAGCUUGGUAACAAGUUUGACUGAAAAUUCUAAAAAUAAUACCGGCCGGUUUGUCGUUUCAAAAAAUAAAAAAAAAAAAAUAUAAAGAACUGAAUAAAAAAAUAAAAGGAGAAAAGAAAGAGUGGGCCCAACACUGGAAAUGAUGUUGCAUCUGUGGGUGUGCAGGUAUGCGUGUGUGUGAGUCUGCAAGAAAUGAAAAAAUAACCAAAAUGAGAAACAUUUCAAGGGAAGGGUCUAAGGAUGCCGGCCGAGGCACAGGGCCAAGUGCCAAGUCACUCGUUUCGGCUUACAGGCAGCUGCAAUUGGUCCAGGGAUGGGCGCAAAUCACAGAGUUGAAAAGAAGAAAAGUCUGUGUCUGCAACCCUGAUGCUGUCCAAUGUUGCAUCUUGUGGACCUUCAGACCCAGCACCAAUCUCCAGCCGAAUCCCGAUCCGGUCCGGUCCGGGACCCUGGCUUCAUGACGCUGCUAAAUGUGUCUUGAAUAUAUAGCUUGGUGCCCAGCAUGGGGGGCAGGGCAGCCAAGUCCAUGUGUCCAUGGUGUUUUACCCUCAUCUCUCUUUAACGUUUGUUUGCAACAAGUAACGCGCAUCUGUAUCUGUAUCCGUGUAUCUCCGGCCGGCUAAGUGUUUGCCCAGCCAAAGAGUUGGCUUACCUGUACUGGUUGUGCUACCUGCGCACAGGUAGGCGUAUGCAUGUAUCUGUAUCUGUGCUCUGUCCAUAUCCUUCGCCUUUUACCAUGGAUGCAACCUCCAACCACCGCCAACGGUCAGCAGCAUCAACAGCAUCAGCAGCAGCAAGCCAUCAUUAUAUACAUAUAUGUAUUCUUAAAUAUAUAGAAAAAUAAAGAGCCCAUAUAUACAUAGGAACACGGGUUACUUUUUUAUACGAGAUUGUGUCUCCUGGUAUGACUUGGCAACUUGCUUUUGGACUAGGCGUCGGACUCUUCUGCCUUUGCUUAAUGGUUUUAGGAAAUCGAAAAUUAAAUAAUUUAUCUCGAUUUUAUGACGUUACAAGCAGGUUUUUAUACCCCCAUCUUCUCUAGCCUCCCUAGCAGCCAGCACGCGAUAAAUCUUCGGCUUACAAUCAGAAGAAAUGCUGCAAGAACAAAAAGAAUCACAUAUGCAUGUACAAUGAGAUGCUUUUAAGUCUAUCCCUCACCACCACCCCAGUAAUUUGAAUAGCCGCCGUUCUAAUGCCAUAAAAAAAGAGAUGCUGCUCCUGGCCCCUGACCCUUCCCU